GGAGGGGGGCUUGUUUUUUUGACUGAGGACGUAAUGAGGGGGGUUUUGUGUUUUUUCGACUCAAAACUGGGGGCGGUGUUUCGUUUUUUCUGGCUUGGAAUGUAAGGGGGAGGUGUUAUAUAUUUUUCUGUCACAAGAUGUAAGAUUCUCUUUGGAAGACACCAUUCACCUACCGAAUGGAGGGAUGAAACAUUGAGGAAAGAAGCGGAUCAGUGAUAUGGUAUCACCCGAGCCGGUAGGACCAAGGGCACCAAUCCAGCCAAUCGUCAGACAUC
Molecule: long non-coding RNA, 275 nt
Organism: Callorhinchus milii (elephant shark)
Lineage: Eukaryota; Metazoa; Chordata; Chondrichthyes; Chimaeriformes; Callorhinchidae
Exons: 3
Source: RefSeq, a predicted model, not a curated record